RNAcentral lists this ribosomal RNA (432 nucleotides) under uncultured bacterium. Its description in RNAcentral is "partial 16S ribosomal RNA". It matches the Rfam family "Bacterial small subunit ribosomal RNA", at positions 29 to 507 of the family's 1533-position model. The record is from RNAcentral.
GCGAACGCUGGCGGCAGGCUUAACACAUGCAAGUCGAGCGGGCCCUUCGGGGUCAGCGGCAGACGGGUGAGUAACACGUGGGAACGUACCCUUUGGUUCGGAAUAACGCUGGGAAACUAGCGCUAAUACCGGAUACGCCCUUUUGGGGAAAGGCUUGCUGCCGAAGGAUCGGCCCGCGUCUGAUUAGCUAGUUGGUGGGGUAAUGGCCUACCAAGGCGACGCUCAGUAGCUGGUCUGAGAGGAUGAUCAGCCACACUGGGACUGAGACACGGCCCAGACUCCUACGGGAGGCAGCAGUGGGGAAUAUUGGACAAUGGGCGCAAGCCUGAUCCAGCCAUGCCGCGUGAGUGAUGAAGGCCUUAGGGUUGUAAAGCUCUUUUGUCCGGGACGAUAAUGGCGGUACCGGAAGAAUAAGCCCCGGCUAACUUCGUG